GAUACACACAGUGCUCGGUUUGCAGAUCCCAUGUCACUAGUCACAGCUAUGACAUAGUUCCGUCAGUGGAGUUUCCUGUGAAAUGGUAUGCUACUGUCUGUUUCCACCGUGAUGACAGUCCUCCCAACAUAAACACAAGAGCAUGAGUGGCACUACCACAAUGACCAGGCAAAGUCACAUUCCCAAGCAAUUGUCCACUACUUGCAUCAUACUCAAUACUAGGUGUAAUGGACAUUUCAUCUAAUGUGAGACAGCAGACUCUUUCCUGUUCACACAAAUCAUUUGCCUUCACUGCUAAGUAUUCAAAAACUUGGUUGAGUAUGCCGGGCUCAAAUAGAACUGUUUCCAUCCGUCGUUGAAGAGUUCGAACAGAUGGUAAAGGAAACUGCUGUUUUAAAAAUGACCACCGAAUUCCUCGCAUUCCUCGGGACAAUGCUAGCAGCUGAUCUUCAGCAAAAAGUUUUUAAAUCUUUGAUUCCUGACUUGCCAUUUGCUUAGUAAGUGCAUUAUUUCUUCUUGUAAUUUUGUGCAGUUUGGCUCUUGAAACUUGUAAUUUGGCUUUCAAUUUUACGACUUCUCUAGCUGUUGUAGAGGAAUCAAUUGAAAGGGUAUUAGAUUCAUCCACAUCUAUAUCUAGAUCUGCCACACUGGUUUCAUAUGCUACAGAGUCAUGUUGAGUUGCCUUAUCAUCAUUGGAAUUAUGUUCAGCUGUACAUUAAUCAAUUGAGAUAGAUUAGUUAACUUGCAUUAAUUGUACUUGGUUCUUCAUAGUAGUAAUUUAAACAAUUGAAAAAUGAAAAACAAUCCCAAGAUUGAAGAAACUUCUACUAAACUUUGAAAUUAUGUCUACAUGUGUGCCUGUUGUCAUUAUUGCGUGUGUGUGUUCUAUCAUGUGUAAUUUGCAGUUUUCUUUUCUUUGUGGCUUUAUAAAUAUAGUACAGUUGAUUGAGAUGUUAUUAAUUA
Corticium candelabrum is the source of this 963-nucleotide long non-coding RNA. RefSeq lists it as uncharacterized. The record is from RefSeq and is a predicted model, not a curated record. The transcript is spliced from 3 exons. NCBI's taxonomy places the organism in Eukaryota, Metazoa, Porifera, Homoscleromorpha, Homosclerophorida, Plakinidae.